Molecule: small RNA, 541 nt
Filed under: Pongo abelii (Sumatran orangutan)
Lineage: Eukaryota; Metazoa; Chordata; Mammalia; Primates; Hominidae
Description: retained intron
Source: RNAcentral
AGCGAUCUCUACAUUGGGAAAAAACAUGGAGUCAGCUCCGGCAGCCCCCGACCCCGCCGCCAGCGAGCCAGGCAGCAGCGGCGCGGACGCGGCCGCCGGCUCCAGGGAGACCCCGCUGAACCAGGAAUCCGCCCGCAAGAGCGAGCCGCCUGCCCCGGUGCGCAGACAGAGCUAUUCCAGCACCAGCAGAGGUAUCUCAGUAACGAAGAAGACACAUACAUCUCAAAUUGAAAUUAUUCCAUGCAAGAUCUGUGGAGACAAAUCAUCAGGAAUCCAUUAUGGUGUCAUUACAUGUGAAGGCUGCAAGGUAAGCCUUUUUAAUUGUCGUUGUUUCUAUUAAUGUUAGAAUGUAUCUUCGUGAUUUUUAUGUCUCCACUUAUGUCUUAAAAUUCAACUCCUUAGAAUUUUGAAUGAUAAGAAAUGACAGGAUAGAAGAAAUAUUUUGGUGUUAAAUUACAAUUAAGGAAGUUAUAUAUAUUUUUACUCCUUCCUUCAAAAUAAUAGGAGACUACAAAAAGGUAUUUGAGCAUUGCUUGUUUAU